UACGAAGGGGGCUAGCGUUGUUCGGAAUUACUGGGCGUAAAGCGCACGUAGGCGGAUUGUUAAGUGAGGGGUGAAAUCCCAGGGCUCAACCCUGGAACUGCCUUUCAUACUGGCAAUCUUGAGUAUGGAAGAGGUGAGUGGAAUUCCGAGUGUAGAGGUGAAAUUCGUAGAUAUUCGGAGGAACACCAGUGGCGAAGGCGGCUCACUGGUCCAUUACUGACGCUGAGGUGCGAAAGCGUGGGGAGCAAACAGG
Molecule: ribosomal RNA, 253 nt
Filed under: uncultured bacterium
Lineage: Bacteria
Description: partial 16S ribosomal RNA
Rfam family: Bacterial small subunit ribosomal RNA
Source: RNAcentral